CAAGGCAGCCAUAAGAGUGCAGCACUUGUAGGGUUAGUGAACCUCCAUAACCUAAGGAGGAACUUUGGCACCGAUUCAUCCACCAACACAGGGAGCUCCUCAUGAUAUAGAACCAGAAAGAUAAAAUAUAAUGAAGAAGCGCAGGGUUGCUCCAACCACCUAUUCAGCAUCGAGAUCCGCCAAGAAACAACCUGAAGAAAAGAUUGAGAAGGAGCCUGUGGAUGAUGAUGAGGAAACUGGCUUUUCUCAUUGGCUCAAGACAGGGCAAGGUGUUGAGUUUAUGAAGUACUUUGUCAUUCUAAACUCUCUGGGGGUUUUCCUGACUUUGGGCUGGCCUUCCAUCUCCAAGAGCUAUCACAUCUUGAGAUCUUUAUUUUUUGAGGAAGAGGACUACUAGGAUACACAAUGGCUGUGGGAAGUGCUGUCACGAGCUUCUUCGUCCUAGUCGUAGUUCUGCUGUACAGUGCCAUGGUAUGGAGAAGUCUCGACCAAUACUUUAGAGAUGAGUUCAAAAAGCACCUCCAACAAGACAAAAACUAUCAGAAGAUGCAACAAGAGAAAUUGGAAAUGUUGAAAGAAAUGGAUUCUAUGGAGGAGAAAACAAAGUUUGAUGAGGGUUUUGUGCCUGACCAAAAAGAGGGGUGUAGCAGGGAGAAAAUGCCUGCAGACAAAUAUAAAAAUCAAGAAAACACUGAAGAUUACGUGGAUGAUGGUGAAAUGUGCCCUUUUGUGCUUCCUUUGAGUGUAAACGAUGAUGAUAAAGGGUGAAGUACAAUAAUCGUGUUAGAACUUAAAAUCUCAUAAAGUGCUAGAUUAGUUCUCCAUAAUCGAUUGUCCCUGUUCCACCAUGUGUAGUUUUGAAAAUUGUAAAUGUGUUUACAACCUGUAAAUGUUACCGUUAAGAUACUGUUUAUGAAUUAAAUGUUGAAUUUGGUUUUCCACAAAAGUUUACGUAAACCUUGAAACCAUCCACUAACUUUCUGGCUUCAAUUUAUUAU
Molecule: long non-coding RNA, 998 nt
Organism: Macrosteles quadrilineatus (aster leafhopper)
Lineage: Eukaryota; Metazoa; Arthropoda; Insecta; Hemiptera; Cicadellidae
Exons: 3
Source: RefSeq, a predicted model, not a curated record